CUAGGAGACGCACUUCCUAGUCAGACCUUUUGAUUUUACUUACAUCAUUUAAUUAUCUUACAUAUAGUUUAUGAUUUUGCUAACACUUACAAAAAUUUUCCUAGUGCAAACUGGGGCAGAAAAUUUUGUUCAUGUUGUUUGUCUUUAAUGAUUUGCAGGACCCACCUGAAGAAUGGGAAGAAAUCAGGACCCGCCUGAAGAAUGGGAACAAGUCAGGACCCGCCUGAAAAAUGGGAAGAAAGUCAGGACCCGCCUGAAGAAUGGGAGCAAGUGCAGGACCCGCCUGAAGAAUGGAAGCAAGUGCAGGACCCGCCUGAAGAGUGGGAUGAUCAGGAACCAGCCUGGAGAAUAGGGUCACCUUUCAAUUUCAAGUUCAAGAACCCGCCUGGAUAAUAGGGACAUCUUUCAAUUUCAAGUUCAGGAGCCCGCCUAAAUAAUAGGGUAUACUUUCAGUUCAGGAGCCCGCCUGAACAAUAGGGUCAACAUUCAACUGCCUUUCAAUUUCAAGAUCAGGACCCUGCCUGAAGCAUGGAGUUUACUUUCAAGUUCAAUUCAAGAUCGAAGUGUUUAUCUCACACUUUGGGAAACAUGAAGAUUCGAGUCAAGAUUCAAGAGAAGCUCCAUAGCUAGGAUCUUGUGCUUGUAUUUUAUUUUUCACUUUUGUCUUUCAUUUGAUGUAAUAAUAGGAUCGUGGACCGGAGCCUC
Molecule: long non-coding RNA, 705 nt
Organism: Lycium ferocissimum
Lineage: Eukaryota; Viridiplantae; Streptophyta; Magnoliopsida; Solanales; Solanaceae
Exons: 3
Source: RefSeq, a predicted model, not a curated record